UGGCAGAUGGAGAAUCGGACUCGCUCCUGACGUGGGACCUCCCUCUGAACCCCCACUCUGGUCUGGCAGGGUCUGGGCCUCCCAGCAGGGACACAGUUCAGCGGCUCCCUGCAGGCCGCAGGUGGGGAAGCCAAGGUGGCAGGGACCCUCACAUCGGCCAGUGGGACAGCCUCCCUGACCUUGACAGCGGUCGUGCACCAGUCCGAGGCCACGCUUCGAGUGAAACUGAGUCACAGGCUGUCUGCACUGCAGGCCGUCCCCCCAGAGACCUUGCUGACCGUCCGGCUCCGGUGGGAGGCCGGGCACCGGCUGGGUCUGGAGCUGCAGGUGGGGGCCUGUGAGCUGCAGGGCGAUGGUGAGCUGCACCUGGACCACGGGCUGCAGUGGCGGGUGCUGGCCGAGAGCUCCUGCGAGGCUCUGCAGGCGCUGGGGGUCCCGGGCCGAGUCAGCAGCUCCGGGGAUGUUGUGCUGAGCUCCGUGGCUGUGGACGCCCAGGUGCUGGUCGCCGUGAACAAUAGCACGCUGCGGGGGGUGCUCAUCCUCAAGACGACCGAGGUGAGGGCACGGGUAUCGGGGUGCCUGUGGCCGCCUGGGAAGGGGUGCUGAGGCCCGAGAAGCCCUGGACACUCUCCUAGCUCCAGAGACCCUGGGAGAUGGAAGACUCGAGACCCAGACGUGGAGGAAUGAGGCUUCCAAGAAGCAGCCUCUCGCCCCAUUUCCCUUGGUCAUUUGCUUUGAAAAAUAAUUUUUUUUUAAUGAAGUACAACCCGAAUAUUGUGCGAGUGCGGACAUGAAAAAUGCUCAGCUUGGUGAGAUUUUUGCAAACCAAACACCACCCACCUCCAAGCACAGAAGGUGACCAGAAGCCCCCGCGGGCUCCCUUGCUCGUCGCAGCCACACGCAAGGGCCCUCCCCCCGACACGAGUUCCUGAAUGUCACAUCUGCAGAAGCACACGGCACAUUCCUUUGCACAUCUGCUUCCUCUUGUCCAACAUCACGCUUGCACAGGUCGCCCUGGUGGCGGGGUUGGUCCAGCUCCUGCCUCUUGGUUUCAGCUCAGCUCAUUGAUCCCGGGGUUGUGAGAUCGAGCCCCACGCUCGGCUCUAUGCUCGCUCGGCGUGAGAAGACUUUCUCUCCCUCUCCUCCUCCCUCCUCCCCUGGAAUACAGGAGUAAACCUUAAAAGACAGAGGGAAAAUACUCAUUGUGUUUGUGGGAUUGGCCCAUGCCUCACUGUCUUUUCCGCUUCACUGUCGACUAGUAACCCACAGGGUGUGUGUCUCACCAGUCCUCCAUCCAUUCUACUGAUUAGCUUUUGGGUGGCGUCUUCUUUCUACUGUACAUCGUGUUAGUUAACUGUGCACCUGUUUUAUUUUGUUGUAAAAAUUUUUUAUCGUGGUAAGAUACAUAUAAAAUUUUCCAUCGUCACCAUUUUUUUGUUUAAAGAUUUUAUUUAUUUAUUCAUGAAAGAAAGAGAGGCAGAGACACAGGCAGAGGGAGAAGCAGGCUCCAUGCAGGGAGCCCGACGCAGGACUCGAUCCCGGGACUCCAGGAUCACGCCUGGAGCCAAAGGCAGGUGCUAAACCGCUGAGCCACCCAGGGAUCUCCCCAUUUUUUUUAAGUCUAGAGUUCAGUGGUCUUCAGAACAUUCACCUUGUUGGGCAACCAUCCCCACCAUCCGUCUCUAGAACUCUCUUCAUAUUGCACAACUGAAACUCUGUCCCCGUUACACACCAACUCCCCAUUCACUGCUCCCCCGAGCCCCUGGCAACCACCCUUCUACUGAGCACUCUGGGUACCUCCAAGAAGUGGAAUCACACAGUGUCUGUCUUCCUGUGACUUUCACUGAGCAUCACAUUCCCAAGGUUCAUCUGUGUUGUAGAAGGUGUCGGAAUGUUCUUCCUUUUUUUAAAAAUUUUUUUGAGAUUUUAUUUAUUUAUUCAUGAGACACAGAGAGAGAGAGGCAGAGACACAGGCAGAGGGAGAAGCAGGCUCCCUGAGGGGAUCCCAGGACUCUGGGAUCAGGACUUGAGCCAAGGCAGACGCUCAACCACCCAGAAUGUUCUUCCUUUUUACGGCUGAGUAAUACCGUGUUGUAAGGACAGACCACUCUGUGUUCAUCCACCAUCCAUCCUCCGACGCUCGGGUUGCUCCCACCCCUUGGCUGUUG
Molecule: long non-coding RNA, 2168 nt
Filed under: Canis lupus familiaris (dog)
Lineage: Eukaryota; Metazoa; Chordata; Mammalia; Carnivora; Canidae
Description: lncRNA (ENSCAFG00000056723.1)
Source: RNAcentral